GUGGUGCGGUGCGAAGGUUUCUUGAGUGAGUGAGUGAGUGAGUGAGUGAGUGAGUGGAUCAAUGAAUCAAUGAAUGAAUGAAUGAAUGCGUCUCGCAUCGCAGUCCCAGAACUCGGCAGUGAUGGUGGAAGUGCAAGCGUUUUGUAAUUUGCGGCGUAGAAACCUGAGAGUUGUGAUACACCCCACCCCCACCCUCGAGCUGUGAAAGGAAAGGGAUGAGGCUUGACGUUGGGAGCAGCAACUUCAGGCUUUUGUGGGAAAAUUCUGUUUAAGUUUUGGGGAAAACUACAGAAAUUUAAACUGUGGUGCCGAAGUAAAAGAAUUUUCAAGAUAAAAAGGACCACAAUCCUCAGAAAUCUGUCUUGAGCCUGCCCUUCUUAAUGGUGGGAGAAUGAGAUUAAAGCAGCAGCAAAGAUAAAGGGAAACAAAUUCCACAGUUGUGUGGCUGGACCCCUGCACCCGACCCCUGCUCUGUAAGCAGCAAUGAUGGAUAUCAAAGGCGAUUUAGGUCUUCAACCUUGCUUGGGGAGAUGGGACUAAAUACACUAUCCACGUAUUUGGGGAGCCCAGGGUUUUGCCACUUCUUCCACCACUUCGAACAGUGAAAUGAAGUGUCUACAUUGAUAAAUCAAGGUUUCAUUUUUGUGCAAAAAAAAAUAAAUGUGAAUAAAGGGGGGAGGAGGAUGCCACAAAAGUAAGAACGGACUCACAAGUUGCACCGGGCCCUGUUGUACUUCACCUGAAAUCCCAGGAGUCAAAUAUCUCUCACCCUAGUUAAUGCUGGGUUUGAUGGUCUGCAAACAUGAUCCAUUAAACCUGCCAAGUUCAACUUAUACUCACAGGGAAUCAGAUCAAUAAGCAAUAGCCAGACAUGGCUACAACAUAAUUAUUUUGUUGAACUCUCUUCCGUACAGCAGAAAUUAAAGAAAUGCAAUGUAGGGUUAGAGAAGUUUGUGAAGCCGAGCACCUCAGAGUUUAAUUUCGUGAACUUUGAAUGGGAAGAGUACAAAUUGCAGAGCUCUGCAACUGAAAAUGCUUCCAGAAACCUGUGUGUCAUGCCGUGUUCAAAGGCCUGAUCUGUUUCAUUGCCAAUGGUUCCACUCUAUAACCUCAUCACUGAGGGACAGAAUGGCACUCAGAAGAGCCCCAAGCCACCUACUGAGGAUAGUAGCUCCACUAAGCUUACUGAAUAAGAUCCAUUCACCUCCCCUCCCAGACUGGUAACAGGAGAAAACAGCUGUUAGACCCUGGCCGCUGGAAAGGAGGGAAUUCAUACAUCUCCAACUUGUUCUAUAUCCUUUCAGUUCCAUAAUUUUUUUUUUUUUUUUUUUUUUUUUUUUGGUUUUUCGAGACAGGGUUUCUCUGUGUAGCUUUGUAGCCUGUCCUGGCACUCGCUCUGGAGACCAGACUGGCCUCGAACUCACAGAGAUCCGCCUGCCUCUGCCUCAAGUGCUGGGAUUAAAGGCGUGCGCCACCAAGGCCCAGCCAGUUCCAUAAAUUUAUUGCCUGAUAAUCAAUAGGAGAAAUACAUCAGUUAAAUCAGAUUUCAAAAACAGUAAAUUAGAACCAAACACUUAUUUUGGCUAACGGUUCUUUCCCUGGCUCAUCAGUUUAUCAAAGAUCUGCCUGCUGUGUUAAAGUGUGACAAAUGGAUAUCUGUGUUUCAUAACUUCCCUUGAAAGUGAGCUUAUAUGAGAAACUAAUCAAUGUUUUAUUAUCCCACACCAGUAGUUUCUACUGUCAAAGAUUACCUAACCUAGCUUAUCUGGCAAAAUCUCUAAAAUGCCACUAUAUAUCAGUUCAUUUUAAGCAUUUUUGUGAAAUAGACUUUAAACAUAUAAGGCAGUUGUAUGCUAUGAGUAAUUAUCAAAGAAACUACCCUGUAAGCAGUCAACCAAGCCAAUCAGUGGAGUUUUGCUAAUCCUCCAAAAGCCCUAAUGACCUUCCUAAACACAACUCUCCCUCCUGGAAGUUACUGUUAUUCUGACCUUUAUGGUAAUCAUUUCCUUGCUUUUCUUUAUUGUUUUAUCACAGGUGUUCAUCCCUAAGCAUUACAUUGUUUAGUUUUUCCCUUUCUUGUGAAUGGUAUAUAAAUGAGAUAAUAUGUAACCUGUUAUGCUUACCAUAUUUGCUCAACUGCUGUCUGUAAUCCAUAUGUUGUUCAGGUUGUUUAGAGCUACAGUUUGUUCCCUUUCAUUGCUGUCUAUACAAGUGUUUCAUUGUAACAAUAUGUAACAAUUUGUUUAGCCAUUUUGUUGUUGAUCAAAGUCUGGGUUCAUUUUGAGCUAUAAAUGCUGUUGCAGAUAAUUCCUUAAAUCUGUAUUCUGUCAUCUACAUCAGUUUUUGUGUGAUCUGUACUUGAGAGUGUAUAUCAUAAACAUGAGUAAAUAAUGUCACACAGGCUUCUAACAGGAUACAGUCACAUUAGCUACAUAUGAGUGUCAUUGCUCCAGACCUCAUUUCAGUUUUAACUUCCAUUUCCCCAAUUACUGACUGUGUUGAGAACCUUUCAUAGAUCCACUAUUGUAUUAGUCGGGGUCCUCUCUAAGAACAGAAUUUAUAGAAAGGUGAUUUGUUAGAAUGGUUUACAGACUGUGCUCCAGCUAAUACAACAAUGGCUGUCUUACCUAAGAAAGGGACAAGAAGCUGGGCAUUGGUGGCGCAUGCCUUUAAUCGCCCCCCCCAGGAGGGGGGGCAGGGGCAGGCGGAUAUCUGUGAGUUUGAGGCCAGCCUGGCUUAUAGAGUGACUUCCAGGACAGCCAGAACUGUUUCACAGAGAAACCCUGUCUUGAAAAGAAAAAAAAGAAAGGGACAAGAAUCCAGUUGUUGAGUCCAUGAGGACAGAUGCCUCAGCUUUUUCAAUAUACAUCAGAAUGCCAAAGAAGUGGACUCUAAUGCCAAUGAAGGUUGGACUUGCUAGCAAGAGUGAGAGCAAGUAGGCAAAAGGAACAAGCUUCCUUCUUUUGUGUCUUUCAUCUAGACUGCCAGCAGCAGGUGUGGCCCAGAUGAAGGUGGAUCUUCCCACCUCAGAAGAUCUGGAUUAAAAGUGGGUCUUCCAUUCGAGGCCAGCCUGAUCUCCAGAGCGAGUGCCAGGAUAGGCUCCAAAGCUACACAGAGAAACCCUAUCUCGGAAAAAAAAAAAAAAAAGUGGGUCUUCCCCUUCAAAUGAUUUAAUUAUGCAAAAAUAUCCCACACAGGUAUACCUAGCCACUGGGUUUUAGUUAAUUCCAGAUGUAGACAAGUUGACAUCCAAGAAUUGCCAUCACAUCUAUAUUGAUAGCAAUUGGAUUCUUUAUCAUUCUAAUGUGUAAUCUCUGAAAUGCCCACAAUUCCAGUGUCUUUUAGUAGUUCAUAUUUGAACACCAAGAUCAGGGUACAGAAAUGCCACCAAAUGAAUGAUGUUUGGGAGAGAUUCUUUUUGUUUGGUUUUUGGGGGAACAGGUCGAGAUAGGGUUUCCCUGUCCUGGAACUCUGUAGACCAGACUGACCUCCAUAUGGGGGUUGGGGGAAUGGAGGGGUACAGAGGCUUUCUAAAAGAAUUUAGCUUACCUAAUUACUUUAUGAAUUGAUCAUGAACUUUAAAGUAGGGUACACACACACACACACACACACACACAUAUAUUCCUUCCAAAACAAUGUUUUUUCAAUUAUUAAAAAUGUGAAGUCUUGGGGCUGGAGAGAUGGCUCAGAGGUUAAGAGCACUGACUGCUUGCUCUUCCAUAGGUCCUGAGUUCAAUUCCCAGCAACCACAUGGUGUGCAGAUAUACAUGGAAGUAGAAUGUUGUAUACAUAGUAAAUAAAUAAAAUCUUUAAAAAAA
Molecule: long non-coding RNA, 3818 nt
Filed under: Cricetulus griseus (Chinese hamster)
Lineage: Eukaryota; Metazoa; Chordata; Mammalia; Rodentia; Cricetidae
Description: lncRNA (ENSCGRG00015032197.1)
Source: RNAcentral